This 478-nucleotide ribosomal RNA is filed under the name Micromonospora halophytica. RNAcentral describes it as "bacterial SSU rRNA". It matches the Rfam family "Bacterial small subunit ribosomal RNA", at positions 384 to 872 of the family's 1533-position model. Lineage: Bacteria; Bacillati; Actinomycetota; Actinomycetes; Micromonosporales; Micromonosporaceae. The record is from RNAcentral.
UGAUGCAGCGACGCCGCGUGAGGGAUGACGGCCUUCGGGUUGUAAACCUCUUUCAGCAGGGACGAAGCGUAAGUGACGGUACCUGCAGAAGAAGCACCGGCCAACUACGUGCCAGCAGCCGCGGUAAGACGUAGGGUGCGAGCGUUGUCCGGAUUUAUUGGGCGUAAAGAGCUCGUAGGCGGCUUGUCGCGUCGACCGUGAAAACUUGGGGCUCAACCCCAAGCCUGCGGUCGAUACGGGCAGGCUAGAGUUCGGUAGGGGAGACUGGAAUUCCUGGUGUAGCGGUGAAAUGCGCAGAUAUCAGGAGGAACACCGGUGGCGAAGGCGGGUCUCUGGGCCGAUACUGACGCUGAGGAGCGAAAGCGUGGGGAGCGAACAGGAUUAGAUACCCUGGUAGUCCACGCUGUAAACGUUGGGCGCUAGGUGUGGGGGGCCUCUCCGGUUCUCUGUGCCGCAGCUAACGCAUUAAGCGCCCCGC